RNAcentral lists this unclassified non-coding RNA (405 nucleotides) under soil metagenome. Its description in RNAcentral is "partial contains 5.8S ribosomal RNA, internal transcribed spacer 2, and large subunit ribosomal RNA". The stretch from base 1 to 121 matches the Rfam family "5.8S ribosomal RNA", at positions 35 to 154 of the family's 154-position model. The record is from RNAcentral.
GAUGAAGAACGUAGCGAAAUGCGAUAAGUAAUGUGAAUUGCAGAAUUCAGUGAAUCAUCGAAUCUUUGAACGCACCUUGCGCCCUUUGGACAUUCCGAAGGGCAUGCCUGUUUGAGUAUCAUGAACACCUCAACUCUCACGGCUUGUCCGUGAUGAGCUUGGACUUUGGGGGUCUUGCCGGCCUGUGGUCGGCUCCUCUCAAAUGGAUCAGCUUGUCAGUGUUUGGUGGCAUCACAGGUGUGAUAACUAUCUGCGCUUGUGGUUUUCCAUCAGAUAACCUUCAGUGAUAUGGAGGUUCGCUGGAGCUCACAAAUGUCUCUCCUUAGUGAGGACAGCUCUUUGAACGUUUGAUCUCAAAUCAGGUAGGACUACCCGCUGAACUUAAGCAUAUCAAUAAGCGGAGGA